This 805-nucleotide ribosomal RNA is filed under the name Corynebacterium sp. YIM 102409-2. RNAcentral describes it as "bacterial SSU rRNA". It matches the Rfam family "Bacterial small subunit ribosomal RNA", at positions 55 to 863 of the family's 1533-position model. The record is from RNAcentral. Lineage: Bacteria; Bacillati; Actinomycetota; Actinomycetes; Mycobacteriales; Corynebacteriaceae.
AUGCAGUCGAACGGAAAGGCCCUGCUUGCAGGGUACUCGAGUGGCGAACGGGUGAGUAACACGUGGGUGAUCUGCCUCGUACUUCGGGAUAAGCUUGGGAAACUGGGUCUAAUACCGGAUAUAACCUUCCUUUAGUGUGGGGGGUGGAAAGUUUUUUCGGUACGAGAUGAGCCCGCGGCCUAUCAGCUUGUUGGUGGGGUAAUGGCCUACCAAGGCGUCGACGGGUAGCCGGCCUGAGAGGGUGGACGGCCACAUUGGGACUGAGAUACGGCCCAGACUCCUACGGGAGGCAGCAGUGGGGAAUAUUGCACAAUGGGCGCAAGCCUGAUGCAGCGACGCCGCGUGGGGGAUGACGGCCUUCGGGUUGUAAACCUCUUUCGCUAGGGACGAAGCCAUCCUUUGGGGGUGGUGACGGUACCUGGAUAAGAAGCACCGGCUAACUACGUGCCAGCAGCCGCGGUAAUACGUAGGGUGCGAGCGUUGUCCGGAAUUACUGGGCGUAAAGAGCUCGUAGGUGGUUUGUCGCGUCGUCUGUGAAAUUCCGGGGCUUAACUCCGGGCGUGCAGGCGAUACGGGCAAUACUUGAGUGCUGUAGGGGAGACUGGAAUUCCUGGUGUAGCGGUGAAAUGCGCAGAUAUCAGGAGGAACACCAAUGGCGAAGGCAGGUCUCUGGGCAGUAACUGACGCUGAGGAGCGAAAGCAUGGGUAGCGAACAGGAUUAGAUACCCUGGUAGUCCAUGCCGUAAACGGUGGGCGCUAGGUGUAGGGGUCUUCCACGACUUCUGUGCCGUAGCUAACGCAUUAA